Hemicordylus capensis (graceful crag lizard) is the source of this 812-nucleotide long non-coding RNA. RefSeq lists it as uncharacterized. The record is from RefSeq and is a predicted model, not a curated record. Lineage: Eukaryota; Metazoa; Chordata; Lepidosauria; Squamata; Cordylidae. The transcript has 3 exons.
GAUUACCAUACGCACAAUGAGGGGCCGCUGCGCUCUGCCAAUGGCCAGCGCCCAGAGCACCAGAGAGCAGGGUCCCAACUUUGGAAACCCCGCCCUGCUGCCUUUGGAUUGGAGCAAAGUUUGAGUCGGGCUGAAGAGGGUUGGAAGAGGAUUGGCACAAAAAGAAGGCGUGUCGGGGGAGAGCGGACUCCGCCCUUCUGUGAAGGCUGCUUGAACUGCCUCAGUGCAGUUGGCCGCCUCGCACUGGACGGCAGUGGCAUCUGGAGGACAAGUGAGGCUUAUUGGACGGGGGACGACAACCAGGGAAGGAGGAGGGUUGAAUAUGUGAAACAAAACAAUCUCUUGGAUAAGACCAGCUUUAUUAAUGGCUUGUUCAGCAAUCUGAAGCUCAUCAUGCUGUAGAAUCACUGUAAGUCUGCAGUACAGAUGGGGAGUGCAUUAAUGGAGAGAUGAGAGGAGCCCUUGAGUUACUUGUAAAUGGAACUGAUGCAGAGAGCCGAACCCUUUCCGCUGGAUUCUACAAAGAUCAGGCUGUUGUUUGAACUUGAAACAUAGGAUGUUCCUUAAAAGCAAGGUCCAAAUUUCAUUCUGAUAAAUGCUCAAUGGACUUACUGCAUUAUACCUGUAAACAGUUUUACAAGUAUAAUGUCAAAUGACUGAAUUAAAGCAUAAACCACACUUUGCUCAUUCAGGACUUUUCCUUUCCUGGAAAUCACCAUAAAUUUCUGCCCCUACCCCCAAGAAAUAUUUCCUGUAAUACUGGUACUUCUAUGAAGCAGGCUACAAAUUACAUACAAAUACACUUCACAAAU